Molecule: long non-coding RNA, 1351 nt
Organism: Carassius gibelio (silver crucian carp)
Lineage: Eukaryota; Metazoa; Chordata; Actinopteri; Cypriniformes; Cyprinidae
Exons: 2
Source: RefSeq, a predicted model, not a curated record
AUCUGAGCUGAAUGUCACACAACCUGCUGCAGUGCUCUUUGAGAGAAUGUCCAGAUCUGGUUACUCAGUAGUUUGUUAUGCUUGAAGAAAAAGAAAUGAUGACAUGAGACAGAAUGAUGGAUGGAGAGUGGCUUUGUUCCCUUACCAAAUGGAUUUCCUUCUCUUGGUGGAUGCCACCCCCGGCAUGUUUGUGAAAGAGGCAUUCCUCGCCGUGCAGCGUGGGAACAACCUGGACCAUCCAUCCGGUAUUCCGACGGAACAUUGUCACACCAGAGCCGGCUGUUGCCAUGGAGACCGCCACAAGUGCUCUAGUGCAUGUCCCUUUUUAGAAAUGAGUUCUGAGGUGGGAAGUGCCUCAAGAGAGCCAAUCGGUAGCUAUCGCCCUGCGUUAAUAGCGUUCGCUGCUCUUUGAAGCCCUGAAUUAAUGAGGUUGCACAACAUUUUCCCAAACCACCUGCUGUACGGUCAGAUGUGUGUGAAGCUGACUGUUCACCUAUGGUAUAACAGCAGUCGCUUUAGCUUAAAUGUCACCAUGGGAAAUCGGCAUACCAGAAUCCAAGGGAUGCGGGCAAAGGUUGACAGAUGGUUUAAAUAACAGAACCAACCGUGAGAAUAAGAGCACUGGCAGCACCUUUAAACACACAGGCAACCGUAUACAUUCACACACACACACACACACACAUAACCUCUAAGCUUGCACAGUGUCAGCGGCUCACAAGCGAUUCGCCCCCUCCGCACAUUUGCUUCGAAGACCAGGAACACUGUGUACCCAACUUGUACACUGGCAUCAGGGCACAUGAAGCCCCAGCCUGAGGAUAUCACAUGCAUUCACACAUCACAGAUCUGACUGCAGCAAAUGAAUGUUUUAUCAGACUCCAUUUCAGCUCUGUGCAGUCAAACUCAAUACAUGCUUUUCUGUUGAUUACAUAUUAUUUACAUAAUUGCAAUAAUUUAUUCAUAAUGUGUUAAUUCUCCCUAAUUACUCUUUUUAAUUUUUUACUCUUUUUCCUUACUACAAUAGCCUACCAUAUUCUGAAAGUUUUGUCAACAUUCAAACAGAGAUCAGUCAUUUGUCAGGUGUCUACACAGCAUUUGACCACUGGACUUACAAAAAUAAUUUCAGCGUUUAAACAUUGCAUCAACUACUGAUGAACACAUCCAUUUUUGUUUGAAUUUCAAACAGAUUCACAAACUUUUUUUGUCAUCUGGUCCUCCUUCACCUAAUAAAUUUAUAUAUGUAUGUAAUAAAUAUUUUAAUAAUGAAGUAUCACAUUUGCAUGUCCAUGGUUCUGUGACGUUGGUUAUGGUCAAAUGACAUGCAGGUAAACAAAUAAAUAUUGUAUUUUUUUCA